Molecule: non-coding RNA, 164 nt
Filed under: bovine gut metagenome
Description: Lysine riboswitch
Rfam family: Lysine riboswitch aptamer
About the family: Riboswitches are metabolite binding domains within certain messenger RNAs that serve as precision sensors for their corresponding targets. Allosteric rearrangement of mRNA structure is mediated by ligand binding, and this results in modulation of gene expression.
Source: RNAcentral
UGAGAUAGAGGACGCAUCUGGUCAUCAGUAGCAAAUUGUAAUGUUGUGCAGAACGCGAUUUGUGAAAGGGACGGAUGCCGAAGAGAGGAAGGCCUGCAUACCGACCGAUCUGGGCGGACGGAAUAAUAUCCGGACGACUGUCGCAACUACGCGGAGUGCUAUCC